AGCAGCCGCGGUAAUUCCAGCUCCAAUAGCGUAUAUUAAAGUUGUUGCAGUUAAAAAGCUCGUAGUUGAAUUUCGGGGUCAGUAGAUUGGUCGUGCCACUGGUAUGCACUGGUCUUACUGGCUCCUCCUUCCUGAUGAACCGUAAUGCCAUUAAUUUGGUGUUGCGGGGAGACUGGACUGUUACUUUGAAAAAAUUAGAGUGUUUAAAGCAGGCUAACGCUUGAAUACAUUAGCAUGGAAUAAUGAAAUAGGACGUUCGAUCUUAUUUUGUUGGUUUCUAAGAUUGACGUAAUGAUUAAUAGGGAUAGUUGGGGGCAUUAGUAUUCAAUUGUCAGAGGUGAAAUUCUUGGAUUUAUUGAAGACUAACUACUGCGAAAGCAUUUGCCAAGGAUGUUUUCAUUAAUCAAGAACGAAAGUUAGGGGAUCGAAGACGAUCAGAUACCGUCGUAGUCUUAACCAUAAACUAUGCCGACUAGGGAUCGGAUGAUGUUAAUUUUUAAUGUACUCAUUCGGCGCCUUA
RNAcentral lists this ribosomal RNA (520 nucleotides) under uncultured Glomus. RNAcentral describes it as "SSU rRNA". It matches the Rfam family "Eukaryotic small subunit ribosomal RNA", at positions 569 to 1090 of the family's 1831-position model. The record is from RNAcentral. Lineage: Eukaryota; Fungi; Glomeromycota; Glomeromycetes; Glomerales; Glomeraceae.